RNAcentral lists this ribosomal RNA (333 nucleotides) under uncultured bacterium. RNAcentral describes it as "partial 16S ribosomal RNA". It matches the Rfam family "Bacterial small subunit ribosomal RNA", at positions 338 to 682 of the family's 1533-position model. The record is from RNAcentral.
CCUACGGGCGGCAGCAGUCGAGAAUCAUUCACAAUGGGGGAAACCCUGAUGGGGCGACGCCGCGUGGGGGAAUGAAGGUCUGCGGAUUGUAAACCCCUGUCAUGGGGGAGCAAAGUAAAAAGAUAGUACCACAAGAGGAAGAGACGGCUAACGCAGUGCCAGCAGCCGCGGUAAGACAGAGGUCGCAAGCGUUGUUCGGAAGCACUGGGCGGAAAGCGUGCGGAGGCUGUUUCGUAAGUCGUGUGUGCAAGGCGCGGGCUCAACCCGCGGACGGCACAUGAUACUGCGAGACUAGAGUAAUGGAGGGGGAACCGGAAUUCUCGGUGUAGCCGU